UGCUUCUCUGAAUGCGCAUGGUAAAGAGUUCCAGAAGGUAGGGGCAGCAUGGCUGAAUGCCCUGGAACCUAAGUCUGUCUUUAUUCUUGGCACUGACAGGAGGGUUUUGCUGGCUGACCGAAGUGAACGGGAUGGAAUGUAGGGUGUCAGGAGCUCUUUCAGGUACUGUGGGCCUUGAUUGUUUAAGGCUUUAAAGGUCAGCAGGCCAAUUAUAAAAUAUGUUCGCCAUUUAAUUGGAAGCCAAUGUAGGGAGUGGAGAACAGGUGUUAUGUGGCAGGAGUGAGUUUGAU
This is a non-coding RNA of Pelobates cultripes (western spadefoot toad), 290 nucleotides long. The record is from the annotation of a GenBank genome assembly. NCBI's taxonomy places the organism in Eukaryota, Metazoa, Chordata, Amphibia, Anura, Pelobatidae.